GAUGAACGCUGGCGGCGUGCUUAACACAUGCAAGUCGAACGAAGCAUUUAGAACAGAUUAUUUCGGUAUGAAGUUCUUUAUGACUGAGUGGCGGACGGGUGAGUAACGCGUGGGUAACCUGCCUUGUACUGGGGGAUAGCAGCUGGAAACGGCUGGUAAUACCGCAUAAGCGCACGGUGCUGCAUGGCACAGUGUGAAAAACUCCGGUGGUAUAAGAUGGACCCGCGUCUGAUUAGCUAGUUGGUGAGAUAACAGCCCACCAAGGCGACGAUCAGUAGCCGACCUGAGAGGGUGACCGGCCACAUUGGGACUGAGACACGGCCCAGACUCCUACGGGGAGGCAGCAGUGGGGAAUAUUGCACAAUGGAGGAAACUCUGAUGCAGCGACGCCGCGUGAGUGAAGAAGUAAUUCGUUAUGUAAAGCUCUAUCAGCAGGGAAGAUAGUGACGGUACCUGACUAAGAAGCU
RNAcentral lists this ribosomal RNA (467 nucleotides) under uncultured bacterium. RNAcentral's name for it is "bacterial SSU rRNA". It matches the Rfam family "Bacterial small subunit ribosomal RNA", at positions 28 to 492 of the family's 1533-position model. The record is from RNAcentral.